CGUAGGGACCAAGCGUUGUUCGGAUUUACUGAGCGUAAAGGGCUCGUAGGCGGCGCGGUAAGUCACUUGUGAAAUCUCUGAGCUUAACUCAGAACGGCCAAGUGAUACUGCAGUGCUAGAGUGUGGAAGGGGCAAUCGGAAUUCUUGGUGUAGCGGUGAAAUGCGUAGAUAUCAAGAGGAACACCUGAGGUGAAGACGGGUUGCUGGGCCAACACUGACGCUGAGGCGCGAAAGCCAGGGGAGCAAACGGGAUUAGAUACCCCGGUAGUCCUGGCCCUAAACGAUGAAUACUUGGUGUCUGGAGUUUUAAUGCUCCGGGUGCCGUCGCUAACGUUUUUAGUAUUCCGCCUGGGGAGUACGCUCGCAAGAGUG
Molecule: ribosomal RNA, 372 nt
Filed under: uncultured organism
Description: bacterial SSU rRNA
Rfam family: Bacterial small subunit ribosomal RNA
Source: RNAcentral